RNAcentral lists this ribosomal RNA (1517 nucleotides) under Bacteroides sp. 3_1_13. RNAcentral's name for it is "bacterial SSU rRNA". It matches the Rfam family "Bacterial small subunit ribosomal RNA". RNAcentral also lists the same sequence under 1 other name. Lineage: Bacteria; Pseudomonadati; Bacteroidota; Bacteroidia; Bacteroidales; Bacteroidaceae. The record is from RNAcentral.
AGAGUUUGAUCCUGGCUCAGGAUGAACGCUAGCUACAGGCUUAACACAUGCAAGUCGAGGGGCAGCAUUUUAGUUUGCUUGCAAACUAAAGAUGGCGACCGGCGCACGGGUGAGUAACACGUAUCCAACCUGCCGAUAACUCGGGGAUAGCCUUUCGAAAGAAAGAUUAAUAUCCGAUAGUAUAUUAAAACCGCAUGGUUUUACUAUUAAAGAAUUUCGGUUAUCGAUGGGGAUGCGUUCCAUUAGUUUGUUGGCGGGGUAACGGCCCACCAAGACUACGAUGGAUAGGGGUUCUGAGAGGAAGGUCCCCCACAUUGGAACUGAGACACGGUCCAAACUCCUACGGGAGGCAGCAGUGAGGAAUAUUGGUCAAUGGACGAGAGUCUGAACCAGCCAAGUAGCGUGAAGGAUGACUGCCCUAUGGGUUGUAAACUUCUUUUAUAUGGGAAUAAAGUAUUCCACGUGUGGGAUUUUGUAUGUACCAUAUGAAUAAGGAUCGGCUAACUCCGUGCCAGCAGCCGCGGUAAUACGGAGGAUCCGAGCGUUAUCCGGAUUUAUUGGGUUUAAAGGGAGCGUAGGUGGAUUGUUAAGUCAGUUGUGAAAGUUUGCGGCUCAACCGUAAAAUUGCAGUUGAAACUGGCAGUCUUGAGUACAGUAGAGGUGGGCGGAAUUCGUGGUGUAGCGGUGAAAUGCUUAGAUAUCACGAAGAACUCCGAUUGCGAAGGCAGCUCACUAGACUGCAACUGACACUGAUGCUCGAAAGUGUGGGUAUCAAACAGGAUUAGAUACCCUGGUAGUCCACACAGUAAACGAUGAAUACUCGCUGUUUGCGAUAUACAGUAAGCGGCCAAGCGAAAGCAUUAAGUAUUCCACCUGGGGAGUACGCCGGCAACGGUGAAACUCAAAGGAAUUGACGGGGGCCCGCACAAGCGGAGGAACAUGUGGUUUAAUUCGAUGAUACGCGAGGAACCUUACCCGGGCUUAAAUUGCAUUUGAAUAAUCUGGAAACAGGUUAGCCGCAAGGCAAAUGUGAAGGUGCUGCAUGGUUGUCGUCAGCUCGUGCCGUGAGGUGUCGGCUUAAGUGCCAUAACGAGCGCAACCCUUAUCUUUAGUUACUAACAGGUCAUGCUGAGGACUCUAGAGAGACUGCCGUCGUAAGAUGUGAGGAAGGUGGGGAUGACGUCAAAUCAGCACGGCCCUUACGUCCGGGGCUACACACGUGUUACAAUGGGGGGUACAGAAGGCAGCUACCUGGCGACAGGAUGCUAAUCCCAAAAACCUCUCUCAGUUCGGAUCGAAGUCUGCAACCCGACUUCGUGAAGCUGGAUUCGCUAGUAAUCGCGCAUCAGCCAUGGCGCGGUGAAUACGUUCCCGGGCCUUGUACACACCGCCCGUCAAGCCAUGAAAGCCGGGGGUACCUGAAGUACGUAACCGCAAGGAGCGUCCUAGGGUAAAACUGGUAAUUGGGGCUAAGUCGUAACAAGGUAGCCGUACCGGAAGGUGCGGCUGGAACACCU